This 324-nucleotide ribosomal RNA is filed under the name Candidatus Omnitrophota bacterium. RNAcentral describes it as "bacterial SSU rRNA". It matches the Rfam family "Bacterial small subunit ribosomal RNA", at positions 1 to 321 of the family's 1533-position model. The record is from RNAcentral. Lineage: Bacteria; Pseudomonadati; Candidatus Omnitrophota.
AUUUUGGAGAGUUUGAUCCUGGCUCAGAGUGAACGCUGGCGGCGUGGUUUAGGCAUGCAAGUCGAACGAUCCCGCAAGGGAUAGUGGCAAAAGGGUGAGUAACAAGUGAGCAAUCUGCCCUCGAGUGGGGAACAACCCUGGGAAACCGGGGCUAAAACCGCAUAUGACCACGGCUCGGCAUCGGGCUGUGGUAAAAAGGGGGGACCGCAAGGCCUCUUGCUUGAGGAUGAGCUCGCUUCCUAUCAGCUUGUUGGCGGGGUAAUGGCCCACCAAGGCUUUUGACGGGUAGCUGGUCUGAGAGGAUGGUCAGCCACAUUGGGACUG